UCGCAAACGCCGACCUCAGAGCAGGUGAGAUCACCCGCUGAAUUUAA
Molecule: ribosomal RNA, 47 nt
Filed under: Azuragrion nigridorsum
Lineage: Eukaryota; Metazoa; Arthropoda; Insecta; Odonata; Coenagrionidae
Description: partial 28S ribosomal RNA
Source: RNAcentral